UGCAUGUCUAAGUACAUGCCGUAUUAAGGCGAAACCGCGAAUGGCUCAUUAAAUCAGUUAUGGUUCCUUGGAUCGUACCUUACUACUUGGAUAACUGUGGCAAUUCUAGAGCUAAUACAUGCAGCAGAGCUCCGACCCUCAGGGGACGAGCGCUUUUAUUAGACCAAAACCAAUCGGACCUCGUGUCCGUCUCUUGUGGUGACUCUGUAUAACUUUGGGCUGAUCGCACGGGCCCGUCCCGGCGACGUAUCUUUCAAGUGUCUGCCUUAUCAACUUUCGAUGGUAGGUUACGCGCCUACCAUGGUCGUAACGGGUAACGGGGAAUCAGGGUUCGAUUCCGGAGAGGGAGCCUGAGAAACGGCUACCACAUCCAAGGAAGGCAGCAGGCGCGCAAAUUACCCACUCCCAGAACGGGGAGGUAGUGACGAAAAAUAACAAUACGGGACUCUUUUGAGACCCCGUAAUUGGAAUGAGUACACUUUAAAUCCUUUAACGAGGAUCCAUUAGAGGGCAAGUCUGGUGCCAGCAGCCGCGGUAAUUCCAGCUCUAAUAGCGUAUAUUAAAGUUGUUGCGGUUAAAAAGCUCGUAGUUGGAUCUCAGUUCCAGACGGGUGGUCCUCCUUACGGUGGCUACUGCCUGUUCUGAACAGCCAGCCGGUUUCUCUUGAUGAUCUUCACCGGUUGUCUUGGGUGACCGGCAAGUUUACUUUGAAAAAAUUAGAGUGCUCAAAGCAGGCGUGACGCCUGAAUAAUGGUGCAUGGAAUAAUGGAAUAGGACCUCGGUUCUAUUUUGUUGGUUUUCGGAACACGAGGUAAUGAUUAAGAGGGACAGACGGGGGCAUUCGUAUUGCGACGCUAGAGGUGAAAUUCUUGGACCGUCGCAAGACGAACUACUGCGAA
Molecule: ribosomal RNA, 899 nt
Filed under: Mastigusa sp.
Lineage: Eukaryota; Metazoa; Arthropoda; Arachnida; Araneae; Hahniidae
Description: SSU rRNA
Rfam family: Eukaryotic small subunit ribosomal RNA
Source: RNAcentral